Molecule: transfer RNA, 75 nt
Filed under: Kofleriaceae bacterium
Lineage: Bacteria; Pseudomonadati; Myxococcota; Haliangiales; Kofleriaceae
Description: tRNA-Thr
Rfam family: tRNA
About the family: Transfer RNA (tRNA) molecules are approximately 80 nucleotides in length. Their secondary structure includes four short double-helical elements and three loops (D, anti-codon, and T loops). Further hydrogen bonds mediate the characteristic L-shaped molecular structure. tRNAs have two regions of fundamental functional importance: the anti-codon, which is responsible for specific mRNA codon recognition, and the 3' end, to which the tRNAs corresponding amino acid is attached (by aminoacyl-tRNA synthetases). tRNAs cope with the degeneracy of the genetic code in two manners: having more than one tRNA (with a specific anti-codon) for a particular amino acid; and 'wobble' base-pairing, i.e. permitting non-standard base-pairing at the 3rd anti-codon position.
Source: RNAcentral
GCCGACGUAGCUCAGUGGUAGAGCAGCGGUUUCGUAAACCGCAGGUCGCCGGAUCAUACCCGGCCGUCGGCUCCA